GCUGCUCGCACGUGCGGUGGUUUGCUGUGACAAGGGGCUCUGCUGGAACAACAGCGACACUUGUGACACACAGCCACUCAUUUGGGCUCCUGCAAGGCUUUGUUACUAAACAAUGAAUGAGGUAAUGAGGAGCCCUCCUGCUACUUGGCUUAACAGGACAGCAGAGAGAAUCAAAUAUGUUUAAUAGCACUGGAAAAAAAAGAAAAGAGUUAAUGAGAUACUUUCUUAGUUGUUGGCAAGUGAGAGCUCUGUAUUGACAAAACCACCAUCAGGCAUCAGGCAAACAAUCACUGCAUUCCUGUGUUCACAAAGGAAGAAAUCACCAAGUACUUCAGCUCUUUAUUGAUUCGAGUUUGGCAUUGACACCCAGCUUCCAUUUCAGGUGAUGAUGUAGAGCCUGGCAAGGACUUUCACCCAUAGAUGUCAGUUUUACCCAGGGCAAGGACAGUGAGAAGAUUUUUGUCAGCCACAGAAACUGGAGGUUUUAUUUAUCAGAAACUUUUAUAUAUCAGAUGGCUUUGGCAGCUUAAAACUCUUUGGAUUUUUCUUUCAGCUCAAGCCUGGUAUGGGACAUGCCACCUGGAAAGCUAUUCCCCACAAUAUUCCCAUUAUAUCACCAAUUAUUUCUAGCCUUGAGGAUAUCAAGCUUUUUGUGUGCACAUAAUGAAGACUCACUCCAUGACAGCUUUCCAAGACCUGGACUUUAAAACAAAUCUGGUAUCAUCAGCCUUACAGUAAAAUUCCUGAGCUGGCAAAACAACAGAACUUUCUAAAGGAGCCAGUGCAGUCUGUCUCUAAGAGGGAAAAUAGACAUUUGCUACAAGGAAAUAAAAAAAAAAAAAAAAAAGAAAGAAAAAAAAAGAGAGAAAAAAUGGCUAAUCAAAACAAUGAUUUAUUUUUACUUGUAUGAUUCAUUCCCUUAAAUAAACAGCAACUAAAAAUCAGCCUCCCUCUAGCUACAAAUUGGCCAAAGCAUGCACAGAUCAAUCUUGAUCACUCUUGAUAAUGGGUUUUUUCCACUGAGUCCAUUUCACCCAGCGUGCAAAGUGCAGCUCCUUACUCUCAGCUUAAUGCAUUUAAUAAAACUUAAUUAAACAUUUGUAAGCCUAAUGAAGCACUCUGGAAAUGAAAACAAAGGCAAGCCAACAUCCUUCUAAAUGGAAACUUGGC
Long non-coding RNA from Passer domesticus (house sparrow), 1170 nucleotides. RefSeq lists it as uncharacterized. Lineage: Eukaryota; Metazoa; Chordata; Aves; Passeriformes; Passeridae. The record is from RefSeq and is a predicted model, not a curated record. The transcript is spliced from 3 exons.